RNAcentral lists this ribosomal RNA (253 nucleotides) under uncultured bacterium. Its description in RNAcentral is "partial 16S ribosomal RNA". It matches the Rfam family "Bacterial small subunit ribosomal RNA", at positions 524 to 776 of the family's 1533-position model. The record is from RNAcentral.
UACGAAGGGGGCUAGCGUUGCUCGGAAUCACUGGGCGUAAAGCGCACGUAGGCGGCUUUCUAAGUCAGGGGUGAAAUCCUGGAGCUCAACUCCAGAACUGCCUUUGAUACUGGAAAGCUUGAGUUCGGGAGAGGUGAGUGGAACUGCGAGUGUAGAGGUGAAAUUCGUAGAUAUUCGCAAGAACACCAGUGGCGAAGGCGGCUCACUGGCCCGAUACUGACGCUGAGGUGCGAAGGCGUGGGGAGCAAACAGG